This 6120-nucleotide long non-coding RNA is filed under the name Pelobates cultripes (western spadefoot toad). Lineage: Eukaryota; Metazoa; Chordata; Amphibia; Anura; Pelobatidae. The record is from RNAcentral.
CUGGCACCCAGACCACUUCAUUAAGCUGAAGUGGUCUGGGUGCCUAGAGUGGACCUUUAAGCCUCAUUAGUUGUAAAACCAAAGAAUGUCCACUUUAACUUAAAGCUGACAGACCUCAUAUAAAACAUGCAAAUAAGAUAUAUUAAAUAUAAACCAUCUAAAUUAAGGUUUGUGUUAUUAUAUGUAACUUAACAUAUCUGUGAAAAACACUCCCAACGGCAUGCUCUGUCUUACGCAUCUCAUCAUUAAUGGAACUUUGUCAGACUGUCUGCCAAUUGAUCAGGCAGACUUGUCCCAUUCCCAGCUGGACCUAUUCCAUUACCACAGCACCAGUGAUGCGAUUUUCGGCACUGGCCCUCCCAUAUUUACAUACACGCAGGUCUGCUUGCAGGGACAAGGUAGUCCCAAGGUAGGAAAUAUGUAGGAGGCAGUGUCUCUAGACAAAUUCAAAUUAUUAUUAUUUAUAUAGCGCCAACAAAUUCCACAGUGCUGUACAAUGGGUGGACUAACAAACAUGUAAUUGUAACCAGACAAGUUGGAUGCACAGACACAGAGGGAUUGAGGGCCCUGUUCAAUGGGCUUAUAUGCAAGAGGGAAUGGGGUAAAGUGACAAAAAAAUUAAGGAUAGUAUUAGAGAAGUAAUGACAGUUGUAGGAGAGAAAUUGGAUGGGAACUAUUAACAGUUUAAUUGAAGUUAGUUUUUAAUGAUUUUUUGAAGGAGUGGAGACUGGAUGAGUGUCUAACGGAGAAGGGAGUUCCACGGGAACAGUGCAGCCGUAGAGAAGUUUUGAAGGCGAGCAGAGGUAGGAGUACGAACAGGAGAUAGAUGUUUGUCUUCUGUAGAGCGUAGGGGCAUAGACGUCACAUACUUGUGUAUUAGGGAGGAUAGAUAGGUGGGAGCAGCAUUAUGUAGAGAUUUGAAAGCAGGAACCAGAAUUUUAAAUUGAGCCCUAUAUCUUACUGGAAGCCAAUGUAGGGACUGACAGAAGGUUGAGGCGUGGGAAGUGCGGGCAGACAGAAAGAUAAGCCUUGCCGCCGCAUUCAUUAUAGACUUAACGGCAGGAUUUGAUGAUAGACUGAACAUGAGGCGUGAAGAAGAGGUCGGAGUCAAAGAGAACACCUAGGCAGCGAGCCUGCAUGGUGGAGCUGAUGGUAGCGCCGUUGACUUGGAGGGAGUUGCUACAGAGAAACCUUACUGUGAAAAAACUGCAAUUCUGCCACAUUCACCCCAAUUUCUCAAGUAAGAGCUAAAGUCACACUCCCCGGUUGUCCCCUGUCCUUCACCAGGCACAGCCCCAAAGAGCUCUCUCAAUCCAACCCACCUGGUGACCAAGCCUCACAGGGAAAGCCUCAAGUCUCCUAGCAGUCACUCUGGCUGGCUGCAUGGAACUCUCCAUCGGAUCAGAAAUCAGCCGUGGCCGGCUAAAACCAGGUGGUGAUUCAACACAAUGAGUGUGACAAAAGCGCUCUUUUGACCAAUGGAGGCAGAGGGCGAGAGACAUGUGAGAGUUAUUUGUGUCAUUUCAUAUGUAUUAAGGUAUACUGUAAUGCCACCCUGAUGCCUGGGGGAUAUUUAGGUUAUCAGUUUCUGAUUUGGUUCUUUCCCAAACUCAGAGGUGACAGAGUGGGAUUUACAUUGUUCAAGCCAAGAAACCCAUGUUGGGGUUGUGUAUAUAAAAGUAUGCUAUAAAGACAGAUCUUUUUCACCCUUCACUAAGUUUCGGCUAGUGUUUGGGUGAGACAACUUUAACAGCUAUAAUCACUCCAAGUAUCCAGCACUCAAAGAGAGUGAUCCUUGACAGAGACACUCAAGUUAAGUGCUGAGCUCAGUUAUACUGACACUUUUUGAGACUCUCUGCGAAAGAUCUCCGAUGACACAUAUCCACUAUCUGUCAGUCAAACAUGUAAGUAAAUGGGAAACUGAACUGGAAAAGAUAUUAACUAGCAUACAAUGGCCUAAGAUACAAAUCAACACAUAUAAAGCUUCCAUUAAUUCAUCUAUGCAAGAAACUAUAAACAGUUAACAAGAUGAUAUUGAACGCCACAAGAUCUCUAGAGAACUGAUGAAGACUAGCCGAUUUCCACAACACCGACCUAUUGCACAUAGCUUGAAUUCGUUACCACAUGGAAAAACGCAAAUGUGCCUCAAACUGUCCACCAAGUGAAAUGCUAACAUCAAAAACUGGAACAGCGCAACUCUGCGCAUGCUUCCUUUAAUUAUUUCACCACUACCUACCUUUCUGAUUAUUAUAUGUGAACAAAAAUUCAUCGGAAAAGCACAGAUGACUACUUUUAGCUGAACUGUUGUUGCUUGUAGCCAUGACAAGUGCACUUUAAAGAUUUAUAUAUUUUCCCAGAAAGAUGGAAAUGAUGAACAUUGAAAGUUGUCCAGUAAAAUAUGGUUUCCUUGCAUUAUUUGAUGUGCACGGUGUCAUUUGAACAGAAAGAAAAGAAAAAAUGUCCUGUAGGCUUUACAAAAACACUUUUAAAAAGACCAAUUUCAAAAGUAUAGAGGCAUUUCAGUGAUGGGCAGGAAAAAAAAAACAUAGGAUAGAUGGAAUGUCUUUAAAUUAUUACUAUAAAAGUACGGAUCUAAACAUAUACCAUUUUGAACAAAUAUUUUAAAAAAGCUAAUUAAAACAAAUGUGGCUUUGAUGUUCUGUAAAGCUUGACGCUGGUGGGAGGGGUAAAAGGGGGUGUACUCUCCCAGAGAACAGACAGGUCAGUUUGGCGUGAAUCCAUGGCAGGCUGCCGGCCAAUUAUGUAAGCUGACCCACCAAGGACGAACCAUGCAGGAAGCACUAAUGUCCUGAGCUUCUAUUGUAGCUCUCAUUCUAGACUUGUUGACAACAUUUCCCUGUUGUCCCCAAAAACGGGACACCUAGAACAAAGUUGGGACAGCGGGAAAGGACCCGAAAAUUAGGUCUGUCCUGACGAUAUUGGGAUGGUUGUGAGGCUUGGUAGGGGGUCAGUCAAAUAAUACCCAAUAAAAGGGCAUUCAAAAUGGGCGGGACUGACCAGAAAAUGGUGGGUCAUCCACUGAAAUGGUGUGUCAGUCGGCAUCAAAUACAGCAGGCUGACUGCCUGUCUGGCUGACCCCCCAACCUAUAGGACUAUGCAGGGACUGCUGGAGAAGUGCCUAAACAUCUUAGUUCCCAACUCACAGCUCAUGCUGUGCUGCCUGGAAACAGUUUCCUGGUAAAUAAAUCGGGACGUUAAGAGAGGACACCGAAAUCAGGACUGCUCCACUGAAAGCAGGACAUUUGGGAGGGCCUGCAUUUGCUACACAUUCUAAGUUUAACAUAAAUGCCAUUAUAAUUUUGUCUAAGAAAAAAAUAACUUGGCAGUUAAAUAGGGAAUAUUCUUUUCAAUUAAAAUUUUACGUGAAAGGGAAAAAGCAAACACAUUCCUGUAAUUACUAAAUUAAACUGGAUUUAAUCAUGUCAGGAUAUUCCCAGCUUGUCUAUUCUGAGUCAGUAUGACGUUGUAUUAUAAAGAAUGUUUGUGUGUUGCUUAGGGAGUCUCUCAAACUACUGUAGUCGUCAGAGCACAGUCAUGGAAUGGAAAUCGCUAUUGCCUGCAGCAGUUUCAGGAGGUUUUGCAACGUUGCAGAAGAUCCUCAAAGAAUCCAGAAGAUCCUCAAAGAAUCCCUUGAACUUUGGGAACAAAACAAAAUAAAAGCACUAACAAAACGUGUAAAGAAGUUGAAAUUCAAAUGUAAUAAUCCAGUUCAAUAAACACAUUCUUGUUGAUUAAUUAAUGAUUCUCUGCUUCCAAAAAUAGAACAUACUUAUUCUAGAGGCCAGACCACAAACAGAGAUUAAAGGAACACUCUAGGACUGAGAAUGCAAAUAUGCAUAAUGCUAGAGUGUUACACUAACUAGAUAGAUUAAACCCCCUUCUCCAUGGAAAGUAAUAAAAAAAAAAGUCUUACUCAUGUCUUCUCGAAGCCAUCCCCCAACCCUAACUGAGUUCAUCAUUACUAAUAACCUGAGCCAGUCCAAUGCUACCCAGUGGGAAGGCAAUGGGGGCUAGUGUGCUAGUGCUGCACUGCACCAAUCAACAUUUUCUCAUAGAUGUGCAUUGACUCAAGGUAAUCUGUAUGGAGAGUGUGCAGAGUCUCCAUGCAGAGUGUGAAGACACUGAAUGUUGGUCCUGCUAUCCAGAAAGUCCCUUUAGUGGUUAUCUGAGUGAUAGCUACUAGCAGCAAUGUGAACACUACUAGGCAUGCAGGGAUAAUCUGUUUGCCCAAGAACCUCUACAUUAAGAUGUAGCGGUUCCAGUGCUUUGAGUGUCCUUUUAAUUGGCUUUCAUAUGAUACUGUCAGGGUACCUUAUGUGUUGGCACAAGCUAUGCCACACACUCAUUUUUCCAGCAGUUCUCGCGCCGGCCACAAUAGCCUCGCCCCUUUUUAUGAUGCGGAGUGUGCGUGUCGAUGUCAUGACGCUAAUAACAUCACGACCUGCCAAAAUGUUCGACCGUUUUGGGGGCAUAGCAACAAAUUUAAGGAACUCAGUUUAUAAGGGGAGUUCAGGACAUGUCUCAUUGCACUGUUGGGGUUCUGUAUACUCCCAAUAGCACAUUAUAUUUGUGUAUAUCUCUUGGUUCUGACUUUGGCUACGUUUGACUAGUCUACCUUCUGUAUUCCUUUGACUCGGCUAUUGUACUCUCGCUGUUCCUGAUUUCUGGCUCCCCUGAACUUGGCUUAUUCCUGAUUACUCUCUGUCCUUGUGAUGUUAGCCUGGCCAUGCUAAGGUCCUGUCUACGUUACUAUUCUACUACACUCUGAGUGUUGGAUCCCCAUAUAUUCCUGAUAGAUACCCAUUAUCAUAACAAUGGGGUUGGUCCGACCAAGUGACAGACCGGAAGGGGAUGAACAGAGUAGCCCCUCACACCUGUCACUCUUUGUCAGGUGGUCUCAUGGGACCACAGUAGAGUCUCAUCAUUAUCUUCUUCGAAUACUUCUUGAUACAUUAAAGGGUUACUCUAAGCUAACCAACUUUAGCUUAAAGGAACACUAUAAGGUCAGAAACACAAACAUAUAUUCCUGAUCCUAUAGUAUUACAAUCAUCAUCUAGCCCCCUAAAUAUAGUAAACACUUACUUUUGUUCAAGUCUGCAGCUGCUGGCUCUGUCCCUGAUCUGCCUGCUUGGCUGACAUUAUCAGAAGUGUUGUUCUGAGCCAAUCAGGAUAGGAUUGCCUGAGAUUGUCAAGGAGGCAGAUCAGGGACAGAGCCAGCACAAGUCAAACACAGCCCUGGCCAAUCAGCAUCUCCUCAUAGAGAUGUAUUGAAUCAAUGUAUAUCUAUGAGGAAUGUGACAGAAUACCCAUACCAUACCAAAAACAUCUCCUUCAUACUUGCCACUUGUUUUAUUCCCCACAUUGCCAUCAAAAGAUUAUUGUCACUACCCCUGGCUCACAGCACCUUCCCCUCAAGGCCAAUGGACUAAAAGUACUCUUUCCUCAAACUAUAACCGGAGUCCAGAAGCCACAAAGACUUCAGUGGGACUUAUGCACAACUCUUCUGGAACUCCGCUCCGGCCACGGUUAGCCUAAUUCCCGGCUAACUUCCAUCCCGGUUUGUCCCCACGUUCCUUGCAACCACGAGGGUGAUUUUUGGAGGGAAAGUGCCUCAGACUAUGGACUACAAUCACUCACUGGGAACCAGGGGGAGCGAACCUUACUUCGUCCACAGGAACUCCCAACAUUUGACUGGUUGCGGCCUUAAUUGUUAUGGAACUCUUUUGGGCAUGGACCACGUGUGCAGUCUGUCAAAACUUUACCCUAGUGGCGUUUUGUCAUCUCUUAUUUGCCCAACAUAGGCGCUUGGAUCCGGACAAUCCGGGGAUAUAUACUGUGUGGGGGUUCCUGUAUGUUUUAUUAUGUUUUUUUGUUGUGUUCUAUGUGUAUCCGGGAAAUAAUAAGUUUAACGAGCAGCAACUCAAUUAUCUCCCAGACACAGAGGCACGAGGGCGGGUCAUUGUCCCUGUGAAUAGGGAUCUCAUGCUGGAGGUCCGUGUAUAAAUGAUUGUGCUGAGCUUAAUAAAAUCAGUUCUUCUCUCAGCAGUAAGUCUCCACUAAUGUAUGGGGGGAAAAGGCUAUAACAUUGCUUUACUCUAC